UCUGUGGUAAAGUUAUUAUUUUUUGAAUAGGAAUCUCACUCUGUCAUCCAGGCUGGAGUGCAGUGGCACACU
RNAcentral lists this small nucleolar RNA (72 nucleotides) under Carlito syrichta (Philippine tarsier). Its description in RNAcentral is "Small nucleolar RNA Me28S-Am2634 (ENSTSYG00000031811.1)". The record is from RNAcentral. Lineage: Eukaryota; Metazoa; Chordata; Mammalia; Primates; Tarsiidae.